UCUCCCGGCCGGGUCAUGCUUUAAAUUCAUGUAUCAAUGUCUCUUUGUCACAUAAACAUUAAUUAAACAGAGCUCCCAAGAAUGUCAGCUUGUGAUGGAGCUGCUGCUUCUGUGAGGAGCCUAAAAUUUAGUGAAAUAUCAGAGGAGGACACCGUCAGAAUCACUGUGGAUCUUGUAGCUGCUGCAAGGAGGAAUCUUGGGUUCCUAAAAUUUAUUGCAGAAUCUCCCUUUCUUCACCAAACUCCGGCCAUUCUUGAAUCCAUUAGAAGAUAUGAUCAGCUAUGGAUGCCCUUGAUAUAUGAGCUCACAAAUGGAUCCACACCCCCCAUGAUUCUUCCUCCUGUUGAUAUUGAAUGGGUUUGGUUCUGUCACUCCUUAAACCCUGUGAGUUAUAGGCAAUAUUGUGAGUCAAGAUUCUCAAAAGUGAUUGGAAAGGCCACCAUUUUUAAUGAAGAAAAUGAAGAUUAUGCAUUGAAUAGAUGCAGAGAAAUUUGGCUAUGUAGGUACCCAUCUGAGCCUUUUGAGAAUGAAUGUGAUUCAAAAGUGGAAAACCAGGUUUCCUCUAUUCAGGAAGAUCUGCUGGAGGAAGUAUCCAAGCAGAGAUUUUUGUACACUAAAUUUACAGAGCCGUAUUAUUUCGAGAUUGUAUAUCUCAUAGCAGCAAGGCAGCGGUAUAAAGGAUUUUUGUAUAUGGUGCAUAGAUUUGCCGAUAGCUGCUCCAAAUUCGUGCCAACUUCGGAUAUUCUCCUAAUGUGGUUGACCCAUCAGAGCUAUCCGACAGUGUAUGCAUUUGAUACCAAAGAGAUAGAGAAAGAACUAACUAAAGUAGCGGGCACAUGGGAGGUUGCGAAGAAAUUAGAGAUCGAAGAGACCAAGAAACUGUGGGAGAGGACGUUUGAACAACCAUAUGAGAAAGCGGGAGGCACAGCCAUAGGAAAGGAUGUUAUGGUCAAGUCGCCUAUCCAAUGGGAAGUCACGGGCACCGAUGUCAACACAAAAUACAAGUCCAUGCUACCCAGAUUCUUACUAGAGCUAUGUGUAAUGGUGAAACUAAGAACCAAAACCGAAAUUGUGCAAUGGAACAUGUCAAAAGAGUUUUUGCGACUACGAUGUGUAAGAUGCCACAAAGAGCUGAAAAUGGAUACACCCGUAUCCAACUUCACCUCAGACACAUGGCACAAAGCCUGGCAUCUUUACUGUGAAUUUGGAACCAAAGGGGUGAUUCUCGAGCUUCGUAGCCGUGGUGGCCGCUGCAUUAAGGGAAGUAAGCUGACAGAAGGCGCAACAUUUCUUUGGAAUGAUUUAUUACGUGCACCCUCUCUUUCUCUAGUAACGGAGUUGGAUCAGAAAGUGAGGAUAGCUGCCUCAAUCACUCCACCCGUUCAAGCAUCGUACUUGCUGAAAUGUGUCCCUGAUCGGGUUACAGAUGAUUCGGGAGCAAUGAUAUCGGAUGUUAUUUUGAAGCUGAACCACUAUCGACCUCAGGAAGGUCGAUGGUUGUCUCGAACUGUUUUAGACCACGCGGGCAGAGAGUGUUUCAUCAUUCGAUUAAGAAUCGGGGGAGGAAUCUGGAGGAGAGGGGCGGAAACUCCAUCAGCAGUGAAAUGGGAGGACCGGAUUAUAGAAGUACGAGAAGGCUGUUGGUCAUAUGUUGCUGGUUCCAUAGGAAGAGCUCCAGAGAAAAUUGUGGGGACUGCUACACCAAAGGAACCACCAGAAGGAUGCCAUGCUUUAUGGAACUUCUCUACAGGCAAUGAGCUGUUAGUACAACGAGGAUCAUCAAAUCACGGUUCACAUUUUGCUUUUAGUCUAACAAAUCACCAACAUCCAGAUUCAACGCAGGUAAAGUUGGUUGAAGGGCGGAAGAUGGAGUAUGAAGUGAAAGACGGAGAUACAAAGGAAGUAGAGGAUGAAGACGAAGGUGGGUUUUUGACAGUUGUUAGGUUCUCGGAGGACAACCCGACAGGAAAAGCCACCGGGCUUCUGAACUGGAAGCUACUGACGCUAGAGUUUUCGCCCGAAGAAGAUGCAGUGAUGCUACUUCUUCUGUGCAUGUCCAUAGUCAAAAGCGUGACAGAAAUAAACAAGGAAGACAUGGGGAGCCUGCUGAUCAGGAGAAGAAUAAAGGAAGCGAAACUAGGAAACAGAGAUUGGGGCUCGGUCAUUCUCCACCCUUCUUCGUAUUCUCGUUCCCUUUCUUCCCCUCAUGUUCAGCCUUGGUACUGGCACGCCAAGGCCUUGAUGGGGUUGCAAGAACGAGAUAAAGUCCCCAGGCCAACUGCUCCAUUGCUGACAUAUUCCCAGGCAGAAGGAGGCGAUAAUUUGUACAAGCGGGGUAUAAUAAAUUAAAAUGGCAUUCAAGAAUUCUGCAGAUUUGUGAUCACCACCACUUGUAAGAUGAGGCAAGCAAGAGAUGGAAAUAAGUAAAGAUUGCAGCUUCGAGUGCUUGCUUCUAGGACUCUACCCAGGGGAACAUUUCUACAUUUGGGACAUGAUCUUUCUUGGAAAAUUUAUGAAAACUCUCUGAUUGUUUUCAGCAAGUUUUCUGAGAAGAAAACUGUGACCAACUUGAAGCAAACACAACCUCAAGUGGCAGAAUCAGCAGUGUGGUUGGAGGCCACUAGUGGUGUGAGGAAAGGGGGUACGUUUCAGGAUUUGGGUCGGAUACCGCAUACUACUUCCCCGAAGCUAUGAUACACAGGAAAGCAAAUAUCAGGCCAUCAACUUCACAUACAUCUUGCGACUUGGAUUAAGCAAUUAGAGGAGCAAAAUCGAGUGAUGCAACAACAAAAAGAGGAUAUGCAGGAGGAAAAUCGGAGUAUCCGUGAGAUCGUCCAGAAAA
Ipomoea triloba (trilobed morning glory) is the source of this 2842-nucleotide RNA transcript. RefSeq lists it as uncharacterized. The transcript has 10 exons. Lineage: Eukaryota; Viridiplantae; Streptophyta; Magnoliopsida; Solanales; Convolvulaceae. The record is from RefSeq and is a predicted model, not a curated record.